Pogoniulus pusillus (Red-fronted tinkerbird) is the source of this 2053-nucleotide long non-coding RNA. RefSeq lists it as uncharacterized. The record is from RefSeq and is a predicted model, not a curated record. The transcript is spliced from 2 exons. NCBI's taxonomy places the organism in Eukaryota, Metazoa, Chordata, Aves, Piciformes, Lybiidae.
CAUAAAAAGAUGGUCUCAUGCAAUUGCUUACCUACGUGGAAUGCUUUCUCAAGUGACAUGAAUGCAAGUGUAUUGAAGGAGACAGAAGACAAGAUGUGUUACAAUUCAGUAUGAGGAUAAUAUAUUAAUUUUAAGGCUCAUAUAGGUAGUUAUAAACUUAAUCCACCAUCUGCUCUUUAUGAAUCCUGUCAAAACCUUCAGGUUAAUAUAGCAAUAAUAGCUUUGUUUCUUUCUUAUAGUCAUGUCUGUAAGGAAUUCAGCACAGGUUUCUUCUUAUCUGCCACCAUGAAUAAGGGAGGAAACAAUUAAAGAAUUACUCUCUAUCAUGAGAAAGAUGACAUUGGAAAACCUUCACAACAGCUACUGUCACAGAAAGUGAUGACAGUAAUUACAAUCAGCCCAAAAUUGUUUUCUUACAGACACAUUAGUUUCAGAAUUAGAAUUGAUUAAUUCUUGAAAUUCACCUGGAGUAAAACUUAGCCUUCAAAGAGUGAGCUGGGCUUUCUCAGAAUUAGUAAAUAAAAAGGGUAGAAUAUGUUAGUUUAGAAGGAACAAAGACCACUCUCAGUGAUUAGAAAUUGUUCAUCUGAGAGUUAGCAGAUAUCGUAUUAAUUUUCUACUUUAUAUGCAUGUUGUUUCGAAGCAGAUGAACUAAGUAAUUUAGAAGACAAACUAACCAAGCCUCCUCUAACAAAAUCUCCCAUUUAAGAACAAAAUUGGGUACACAAUAAAAUAUACAGUCUGAUCUUACAUAGUGUCCUUUCUCAGAAUUUUCAAAGGCUGAAUUAUCACCUGUGUAGUCCGUACAUUAAGUAUUGCAAUCAUCAGCCCAUGGAUUGGAGAGUACAAGUUACUCAUUACCAAAUUACAAAGCAACUUUUAUUAUGGCUUACAUGAAGAAAAUUAACAUUAUCACUCUCCUGCCUAUUCUAGUGACCUUUUCCCCAUUCAGAAAUGUGUUAAAGCUCACCCUGUAGACCAAUAUUUUUUUUUUUUCUAUUAUAUGAUUGUACCUGAGUGUUCUUCUGGAUGAAAAGGACCACACUGGCAUGGUGGUGAAAGCCUAUUUCCUAAGUUCUGGAAAUACCAGAUGUCAUUCUCAUUGAAAAUAUUCAUCUCCUUGGAAAUUAACAUUGUAAAUGGCGCUAAGAAAUCCUGUGUUAUGGACCAAACAACACAGCAAUAGAUGCCACUUCAGUCCAUUACUUAAACCAACGAACAGAUUGAUACAGGAAAAAUGUGAUUUGUUCAGAAAAUUCACUUCCACAAUACAAGCAUGGCUGCACUGUCAAAUUUACAACCUUGUUUGUAUCAUAGAUCACAUAUAUCUCUGCUGGGUUUGGCUGUGGCAGAGUUAAUUUCCUUCAUGGUAUCUAGUGUGGGGCUAUGGUUUGUGUUUGUACUGAAAACUGUAUUGGUUACACAAGGAUGCUUCUGUUACUGUUGACCUGUGCUUCCACAGAGUCAAGGUCCUUUCUGCUUCUCGUCCCACCCCACCAAUGAGCAAGCUGGAGGUGUAUGAGAAGUUUGGAGCAGGCACAGCUGCAACAGUUGAUCCCCAAUGACCAAAGGAAUAUUCCAGCUCUUAUGACGUCUGCUUAUCAUAUAAAACUGGGGACUAAAGGAUAAAAUUACAGACAUUCAGAGUGAUGGUUUUCAUCUUCCCAGGUAAUGAUUACAUGUUCUUCAGUUUUUCUGGAGAUUGCUGAACACCUGCUUGCAAGUGGGAAGUAGUGAAUUAAUUCCUUGGUUUGCUUUGAUUGUGUGUGGAACUUUUUGCUUUAACUAUCAAACCAUCUUUAUGUCAACCCAUGAAUUUUCUCACUUCUACUCUUCAAAUUCUCUACCCCAUCCAGUUGUGGGAGGACUGACCAAGCACCUGUGUGCUGCUUGGUUGCCAGCUGGAGGGUUUAUUUGUUUGUUAUUGCAGAGCUGAAAUGAUGGUCCACAUAAAAGUACCCUGGGUAUACAAAUUCCCUAUGUGUAGGUAGAAUGUGUAAUACUAAAAUAAACUUCAACAUUUCAGUGUGGUAAACUCCAUUAAGAAACAAAA